Molecule: small RNA, 18 nt
Filed under: Arabidopsis thaliana (thale cress)
Lineage: Eukaryota; Viridiplantae; Streptophyta; Magnoliopsida; Brassicales; Brassicaceae
Description: ATSL238620
Source: RNAcentral
AAAAAAGGAAGAAAAAAA